Molecule: non-coding RNA, 23 nt
Filed under: Arabidopsis thaliana (thale cress)
Lineage: Eukaryota; Viridiplantae; Streptophyta; Magnoliopsida; Brassicales; Brassicaceae
Source: RNAcentral
CGAAUAUAUUUUGCUGCCAAACA